Molecule: non-coding RNA, 1172 nt
Organism: Mus caroli (Ryukyu mouse)
Lineage: Eukaryota; Metazoa; Chordata; Mammalia; Rodentia; Muridae
Source: RefSeq, a predicted model, not a curated record
AAACGUCCAGCCUGUGCCUUUGUGGCCUCUUGGGCUGGGUUGCAAUCUCAUGCCAACCCGCUUGCCGGUUGUCAGGAGGCCUCUGGGGAGGACGCUGCAGGAGCCUCAAACGCCACCUACUCCCGGCCUCUCUCCCGGUUGAUGUUUCUAUUUUGGGUACCACAUUAUUUCCUGCUGUGAUUUUUUUUUCAGGCUUCUAAUUCGGGCUCUGAGCAAUGGGAGUUGAACACUUCCGUGUCCGAGGUCUGUUUAACUAUGUUUGGACAAUGACCCUUUAGAGAUGCUGAUGAAGGCUACACAGAAUCCCAGAAACUAUCCACAACAAACUCAUAGCAGACAAAAUGGUAAAGCUCCCGGGAGCCUCACCCAUCCCAGUCCUUGGAGGUGACUUUAGCUGAGACUUCUAGCAGUAAGGAUAUGGAGCCUGUUGUGCUUGUAGCCAGGAGCCUAGCAUAACUCCUCUGAGAGCUACCCAGCAGCUGACUGAAACAGAUGCUGAGACCCACAGUCAAACAUUAGAUGGAGCUUGGGGACCCUUGUGGAAGAGUUGGGGGAAGGACUGCAGGCCCUGAAGGAAAUAGGAACUCUACAAGAAGACCAACAAAGUCAACUAACCUGGACCACUAGGGGCUCCCAGAAACUGAACCAUCAACCAAAGAGCAUACAUAGGCUGGACUUAGACCUCCCUGCACAUAUGGAACAGAUAUGUAGCUUGGUCUUCAUGUGGAUCUCCCAACAACUGGAGCAAGGGCUGUCCCUGAAUCUGUUGCCUGCCUGUGGAUUCUGUACCCUUAACUGGGCUGCCUUGUCUGGCCUCAGUGGGAAAGGAUGUGCCUAGCCCUGCAAAGACUUGAUGUACCUAGGUUGGGGGGGUACCGGGGGAGGAGGGAGGGUUCCAUCUUCUCAGAAAAGGGGGUGGGGGGACUGUGUGAAGGAGGUACGAGGAGAGGGGAGCAGCAAUUGGGAUGUAAAGUGAAUCAAUAUAUAGAUAAGUGAAUAUGUAGGAAAAAUGAUUAAGUUCCUCACAUGGCUGAAAGUGAAAGAGGCAGCAUCUUUUAAAAGGUCUUGGUUCCUGGAGGUCUUUUUUUUUGCUUUUGAAUCACAUGCACCUUGUCUGCUGUUGCCUUUAUGAACAUGUAACAUCCAAUAAAAUUUGUUUUUUAAAUCUUUAU